RNAcentral lists this unclassified non-coding RNA (378 nucleotides) under plant metagenome. RNAcentral's name for it is "partial contains 5.8S ribosomal RNA, internal transcribed spacer 2, and large subunit ribosomal RNA". The stretch from base 1 to 105 matches the Rfam family "5.8S ribosomal RNA", at positions 50 to 154 of the family's 154-position model. The record is from RNAcentral.
GAGAUGCGAUAAGUAAUGUGAAUUGCAGAAUUCAGUGAAUCAUCGAAUCUUUGAACGCACCUUGCGCUCCUUGGUAUUCCUUGGAGCAUGCCUGUUUGAGUAUCAUGAAAUCUUCAAAGUAAAUCUUUUGUUAACUCAAUUGGUUUCUACUUUGGUAUUGGAGGUCUUUGCAGCUUCACACCUGCUCCUCUUUGUUCAUUAGCUGGAUCUCAGUGUUAUGCUUGGUUCCACUCGGCGUGAUAAGUUAUCUAUCGCUGAGGACACUGUAAAAGGUGGCCAAGGUAAAUGCAGAUGAACCGCUUCUAAUAGUCCAUUGACUUGGACAAUACUUUUAUGAUCUGAUCUCAAAUCAGGUAGGACUACCCGCUGAACUUAAGC